This 125-nucleotide small RNA is filed under the name Marmota monax (woodchuck). The record is from RNAcentral. Lineage: Eukaryota; Metazoa; Chordata; Mammalia; Rodentia; Sciuridae.
GCCAGGUGUGGUAGCGCACACCUGUGGUCCCAGGAGCUCAGGAGGCUGAGGCAGGAGGAUCACAAGUUCAAAGCCAGCCUCAGCAACAGCAAGGCACAGAGCAGCUCAGUGAGACCCUGUCUCUA